RNAcentral lists this ribosomal RNA (493 nucleotides) under uncultured bacterium. RNAcentral describes it as "partial 16S ribosomal RNA". It matches the Rfam family "Bacterial small subunit ribosomal RNA", at positions 28 to 506 of the family's 1533-position model. The record is from RNAcentral.
GACGAACGCUGGCGGCGUGCUUAACACAUGCAAGUCGAACGGUGAAGCGCCUUCCUUUUUGGUGGGUGUGGAUGAGUGGCGAACGGGUGAGUAACACGUGAGUAACCUGCCCCCUUCUUCUGGAUAACCGCAUGAAAGUGUGGCUAAUACGGGAUAUUCUGGGUCUGUCGCAUGAUGGGUCUGUGAAAGAUAUUGUUUCGGUGGGGGAUGGGCUCGCGGCCUAUCAGCUUGUUGGUGGGGUGAUGGCCUACCAAGGCGGUGACGGGUAGCCGGCCUGAGAGGGUGGACGGUCACACUGGGACUGAGACACGGCACAGACUCCUACGGGAGGCAGCAGUGGGGAAUAUUGCACAAUGGGCGCAAGCCUGAUGCAGCGACGCCGCGUGAGGGAUGGAGGCCUUCGGGUUGUGAACCUCUUUCGCCAGUGAAGCAGGCCUGCCUCGUUUGUGGGUGGGUUGACGGUAGCUGGAUAAGAAGCGCCGGCUAACUACGU